Molecule: long non-coding RNA, 1991 nt
Filed under: Sorghum bicolor (sorghum)
Lineage: Eukaryota; Viridiplantae; Streptophyta; Magnoliopsida; Poales; Poaceae
Description: long non-coding RNA (SBIC_LNC002082)
Source: RNAcentral
GCGAAGAAGCCCACGAUGCCACUGCCUGGCUGCACAGGGAUGGUGAAUGGAGCAUCCUUCUCCUUCCCAUCCCCCCAAGGCCCACAGGUCUUGUUAAGGUUUGUCACGAAUUUGAUGGAGGUUAUCAACUUAUUGGUACCGCCGUAGGGGUUGCCCACUGUCCCGGAUACUUCUGUGACCACCUCAGACUCGCCAAGCGGGAUCUGCGUGCACCAACACCGAGAAGGGAGAAAAUGUGGAUUAUAUUGGUCAUCACUCAUCAUAUCUAGACGUUUUCUUCGCUGCCAAUCCAUCGAGCAAUCUACUACGUCUACAAUGCACGUGGUCCACUUACCGUGUGAGGAUCUCCACCGGGACCACCCCAGCGACCAGCAGAGCGCUUCUGGCCAGUGUAGUCGAUGUAGGAGAAUGCAAUGGAGUCCACGACCCAGCCAGUGUAAAAAAAAUUGAGAAGUCUGAUCAGAUAUUGCUAAAAAUAUCAUGUAUUUUUGACCGAGGGAAGUAAUAUCAUUUUGUUUUCAGCAUUAAAUGCUUUAGUUAGUUCAUAUUAGCGGUCAGAGUCCCCUCGUGCAAAAGCCAUUGGGCAGGGGACUUUAGUCCCGAUUGGUGGCUCCAACUGAGACUAUACUUACCUUUAGUGUCGGAACCAAAUAUGGUCAGGAUUAAGGCUAAUCCGAUGCAAACCGAAUGUCCGUUCUUUGUACUAGUGAGAUCUUGUUAAGAUUUGUCACAAAUUUGAUGGAGGUAACCAGUGUCGUUGCCGACUGUCCCAGACACUUCUGUGACAAACUCAGACUCAGCGAGCUAGAUCUGCAUGCACCAGAGGGGCGGGAAGGGCGGUGGAUUGGAUAUGUAUAUAUGUCAGCAUGUCAAGCAAUGUAUUAAAAUGUCAGCAUUGUCGCAUACUUUCAUUUUGGUUUCAGAGAAUUGCAAAUGCUUUAGUUUAUAUUAGCUGUUAAGAGUCCCAUUGAUUUGGAUGUCUGUAUUUCAAAUUAAAGUGGCAUCUCUGUCGGAAUGAAGCAAAAGUAAUACAAAAAUUUAGAUGACACCUGAGGCAGCCCAUUGAUUACUCGAAUACCACGAGCAUGAGUCGAGGUCUUUAUUUAUCGAAAUUUAUGACAGAGGAAGCACACAUCACAUUGACCACUUUAUUAGCAAGUAGCAACCAACUGAAGUAGAAGGGUAGACACACCACACUGACAAUUUUAGUGACAAACUAGUAGGGAAUGAAAUGGAAGCAGAAUCUGGAACCAAGCUGCUUCUCAGAGUCUAGAGGGGGCGCACGUAAACGCCAAUGGCCUCAACGAAUUCCCCACCACGUGCAAAGAAGCCCAUGAUGCCAUUGCCUGGCUGCACGGGGAUGGUGAAUGGAGCAUCCUUCUCCUUCCCGUCCCCCCAAGGCCCAUAGGUCUUGUUAAGGUUUGUCACGAAUUUGAUGGAGGUUAUCAACUUAUUGGUACCGCUGUAGGGGUUGCCCACAGUCCCGGAUACUUCUGUGACCACCUCAGACUCGCCAAGCUUGAUCUGCGUGCACCAACACCAUACCAAGAGGGGAGAAAAUGGUGGAUUAUAUUGGUCAUCACUCAUCAUAUAUAGACGUUUUCUUCUUUACGAAUCUGUCGAGCAAUCUACUACGUCAUCUACAAUGCACGUGGUCCACUUACCGUGUGAGGAUCUCCACCGGGACCGCCCCAGCGACCAGCUGAGUGCUUCUGGGCAGUGUAGUCGAUAUAGGAGAAUGCAAUGGAGUCCACGACCCAGCCAGUGUAAACGGUGAUGCUUUCGAGAGACCUGGGUGCUUCUAUGAUGUCCAUUGUUGACCCUCCACUCCCACCGAACAGCCCAAUUUUUGUGACUGGAUACUGUGUGUAUGCAAUAUAGGUAAUAUAUAAAGUUGUAUUAUUUUCUCAGAAGCAACUAAAAUAAAGCUACCGACUUGAUGAACAACUACUUGUAUAUAUAGUAACGUAUAAUUAAUUAUUGUGUGGCUA